UGAAUUUUCAUGGUGUUGGAACAUGUGUCCCUAGAGAACAGGGAGAGUGGGGAAGUUUCCUCCACCAAUGUGCCUGAAACCUGACCUGCAGGGACCAUCCUCAAGGUGGGAGGGGAGUUCUGGCUCCAUAACUCUUUCAGUUCUUGACACG
RNAcentral lists this small RNA (151 nucleotides) under Gopherus agassizii (Agassiz's desert tortoise). RNAcentral describes it as "TUC338 (ENSGAGG00000011504.1)". Lineage: Eukaryota; Metazoa; Chordata; Testudines; Testudinidae. The record is from RNAcentral.